CAGAAACUGUCCUUUGACAGAGCAAGUCCAGAAAGUGUUGAAAACGAACGUACAGAAGCAUGCUGCAGGAACUGCUGUCCCUGGCUUCAUCUUGCUGCCUGAUCAGACAGCUUGCUGAACAGGAGCUACAACACAAGAAUGUUUCUUCCCCUCAGAAUGCAGUCUAACAAGUGAUUUUUAUUAUCCUAACUACAAGAGAUACC
This 203-nucleotide long non-coding RNA is filed under the name Gallus gallus (chicken). The record is from RNAcentral. Lineage: Eukaryota; Metazoa; Chordata; Aves; Galliformes; Phasianidae.